This 1028-nucleotide long non-coding RNA is filed under the name Scleropages formosus (Asian bonytongue). RNAcentral describes it as "lncRNA (ENSSFOG00015031079.1)". Lineage: Eukaryota; Metazoa; Chordata; Actinopteri; Osteoglossiformes; Osteoglossidae. The record is from RNAcentral.
CACAGAGGUCUACCUCUUCUGCUCUCUGGGCCUUCUGGCCUGCAGCACCAUGGAAACAGCUGUGGUGUUCCAGUGCUCCAGUGGCAGGAACAGGUGGGUGAGGGACAAGAUCUUCCCCUGCCUGUCACGCCUGCUAGGGAGGAACCCCAGGGCCGCGACCCCAACCGAUGGUGUGCCAGAGGAGGGCCCAGGUUGGGGCCCUGCCAGCCCUGAUGAGGAACCAAAUGCCUUGGGGGUGCUCCAGCAGCGUCUGGUCCAGGUGAGGAGGAACCUGCAGCACCUCCGCCGUGAGCAGGACCAGCGAGCCUGGAGCCAGGAGCUGGGUACCAUGCUGGACCGCACAUACCUGUACCUGCACUGCAUCACCCUGGUGACAGGGGGCAUUGUGCUGCACUUACAGUGGCUCAGGGCCCCCUGACAGCCCUGCUCUCACUUGCACGUGGGGCUCAACCAUCUUCAGAUGACCGAGACUUCUGGCUCCCUGUGCACAGAAGGUGGCAGCAGAGAUCUGUUAGAGCUGAAUACAGUUUGUACCACAUCACAGAAUUUCCCAGUAUAAUAUACACACACACACACACACACACACACACACACACACACACACACACACACACACACACACACACACACACACAGUCUACAACCACUUAUCCCAAGGAGGGUUGCGGCAAACCGGAGCCUGACCCGGCAAUACAGGGCGCAAGGCUGGAGGGGGGGAGGGGACAGGGCACCAGUUUGUCGCAAGGCACCCCAAGCAGGACUCGAACCCCAGACCCACCAGAGAGCGGGACCUGGCCAAACCCACUGUGCCACUGCACCCCCCCAAGUACAAUAGGAUAUUACUAAAUACAAUUAAUGAAUAGUAAACACAAUAUUUUAGUAACUUUUCAGCGAGCAGGUGUUCUUACAGACAUUACUUUGGAUGUGCACUGGAAAAGACUGGAAGGAGUAAUGAUGGACAAAUCAGUCAUUCACCAGUUGAGUUCUGCUAACAUUUGUGGUUAAACGUACAAUAAAUAAAAUAUGCU